This 158-nucleotide unclassified non-coding RNA is filed under the name Palleronia salina. RNAcentral's name for it is "Maribius salinus 6S / SsrS RNA". It matches the Rfam family "6S / SsrS RNA". Rfam says of the family: E. coli 6S RNA was the first non coding RNA to be sequenced, but its function was unknown until recently. It consists of 184 nucleotides that fold into an extended hairpin structure with a large single-stranded internal bulge. RNAcentral also lists the same sequence under 1 other name. Lineage: Bacteria; Pseudomonadati; Pseudomonadota; Alphaproteobacteria; Rhodobacterales; Roseobacteraceae. The record is from Rfam by way of RNAcentral.
CGGGCACUGCCCUUCCCGUGCCGGGGUCCAAUUCCAGUGGCCUUAAGCAAUUCCGAGGGAGCUGGCUCUGACCGGGCCGUGGUCUGGUUACCCGGCGCCCACCUGUAAAUACAGGUCCUCGGGAAUUUACGUACCCUGACGGUCGUGGUGGUCCCGCC